UACGUAGGGGGCGAGCGUUGUCCGGAAUUAUUGGGCGUAAAGCGCACGUAGGCGGCUUUGCAAGUCCCAUGUGAAAGCCCACGGCUUAACCGUGGAAGUGCAUGGGAAACUGCAGAGCUUGAGUACUUAAGAGGAUCGCGGAAUUCCCGGUGUAGAGGUGAAAUUCGUAGAUAUCGGGAGGAACACCAGUGGCGAAGGCGGCGAUCUGGGAAGAUACUGACGCUGAGGUGCGAAAGCGUGGGGAGCAAACAGG
RNAcentral lists this ribosomal RNA (253 nucleotides) under uncultured bacterium. RNAcentral describes it as "partial 16S ribosomal RNA". It matches the Rfam family "Bacterial small subunit ribosomal RNA", at positions 524 to 776 of the family's 1533-position model. The record is from RNAcentral.